GGCCCAGUAGCGGAUGGCCCGCGCCUGCAUCAUAUGCAUAUGUAAGAGUGCUGGCAUUAUGCAGGAGUCGCUCGUUCGAAUCGAGCCUGGGCCA
Non-coding RNA from Mycena latifolia, 94 nucleotides. Lineage: Eukaryota; Fungi; Basidiomycota; Agaricomycetes; Agaricales; Mycenaceae. The record is from the annotation of a GenBank genome assembly.